CGCGAUGGGCCAAAAAAAAUCCCCAAAAACA
RNAcentral lists this transfer RNA (31 nucleotides) under Sceloporus undulatus hyacinthinus. Its description in RNAcentral is "partial tRNA-Phe". RNAcentral also lists the same sequence under 1 other name. The record is from RNAcentral. Lineage: Eukaryota; Metazoa; Chordata; Lepidosauria; Squamata; Phrynosomatidae.